UAUUUUUGCAAGCAGCUGCCUGCUUUUUUUUUCUUUUUGCAUCUCCUUUUUUUGCAACUGGUGACUCUUCAGAGCAGAGACUCCUUCACCUUUCCUCCGCUGCUUUCCCAGCACAGAGCUCAAUUCAUCCUAAGUGGCACAUGGACUAACAUUCCAAGCUGGCCUAAUGCCUUUGCUGAGUUGGGGGCAGAGGAGAGGUAACUGCAGAAAACAUGCAAUCUCUCUGAGUCUGUACAGAGGAAGUUGGACACAGCCCUGCAGGUGGGAUGUGCGUGCCGGGAGCAUCACACAACCGUGGGGAGUCACCCGGCAAGUUUGCAUAGGGGUUGCUCAGGCAGCAAGCAACAGGGAAAGAAAACAGCGGCUUAAAUAAAACACUACAGUGAUUAUUGUCUGAAUUUUUUUAAAAAAAUGUUUUGAUUAGUGUUGAUUGAACUUCUGUAUUUAAAGGACCUAAGAGGUCCAAAAUGCAUUGGACAUUAAACUUUUUUCUUCUGUCGUACUGCUUCCUGCUUCCCUCCCCAUUUGCCUGGAAUUCCCCCUUCUUUGUUAUACUUGAUUA
Long non-coding RNA from Rhineura floridana, 562 nucleotides. RefSeq lists it as uncharacterized. The record is from RefSeq and is a predicted model, not a curated record. NCBI's taxonomy places the organism in Eukaryota, Metazoa, Chordata, Lepidosauria, Squamata, Rhineuridae. The transcript has 3 exons.